UACAGAGGUGGCAAGCGUUGUUCGGAAUCACUGGGCGUAAAGGGCGCGUAGGCGGCCUGGUAAGUAGGGGGUGAAAUCCUGCGGCUUAACCGCAGGGCUGCCUUCUAAACUGUCAGGCUCGAGCACAGUAGAGGCAGGUGGAAUUCCCGGUGUAGCGGUGGAAUGCGUAGAGAUCGGGAAGAACAUCAGUGGCGAAGGCGGCCUGCUGGGCUGUUGCUGACGCUGAGGCGCGACAGCGUGGGGAGCAAACAGG
Molecule: ribosomal RNA, 253 nt
Filed under: uncultured bacterium
Lineage: Bacteria
Description: partial 16S ribosomal RNA
Rfam family: Bacterial small subunit ribosomal RNA
Source: RNAcentral